RNAcentral lists this long non-coding RNA (223 nucleotides) under Lathyrus oleraceus (garden pea). RNAcentral's name for it is "Pisum sativum (pea) long non-coding RNA (PSAT_LNC034128)". Lineage: Eukaryota; Viridiplantae; Streptophyta; Magnoliopsida; Fabales; Fabaceae. The record is from RNAcentral.
AAUGGCGGAGAGAUUGGAAAGGAUUGAAGGUUGGAUGAUCAAGGAGAAAGUUCAGGGAGAGGCUCCGUCAUCCGAAGUAAACAAAUCCUCUAGCACUGUAGUAAAGAAACCCUCUGGCAGUGGUCAGCUCAAGAAGGAGGUUGAAUCAGGUGGGUUGCGAGCAAAAAAGAGUGCGGUAAAGAUCGUUAUCACCCUUAUGCUACCACUGUAACCACUCCUGUUG